CGCAAGGUGCAUGGCAGACGGGUGAGUAACGCGUAGGGAAUCUACCUCUUUGUGGGGAAUAACGCUCCGAAAGGAGUGGUAAUACCGCAUGAGACCGUGGUCUGGGAUGACUACGGUGAAACCUGGGGACCGCAAGGCCUGGGGCAAGGAGAGGAUCCUGCGUCUGAUUAGCUAGUUGGCGGGGUAAUGGCCCACCAAGGCGACGAUCAGUAGCCGGCCUGAGAGGGUGAUCGGCCACACUGGAACUGAGACACGGUCCAGACUCCUACGGGAGGCAGCAGUGGGGAAUUUUGCGCAAUGGACGAAAGUCUGACGCAGCAACGCCGCGUGGGUGAUGAAGGUCUUCGGACUGUAAAACCCUGUCGUCAGGGACGAAGGUUGAGGGGUUAAUAACCCUUUAGCUUGACGGUACCUGGAGAGGAAGCCCCGGCUAACUCUGUGCCAGCAGCCGCGGUAAUACAGAGGGGGCAAGCGUUAUUCGGAAUUAUUGGGCGUAAAGGGCGCGUAGGCGGUUUUUUAAGUCAGAUGUGUAAUCCCCGAGCUUAACUUGGGAACUGCAUCUGAGACUGGAAGGCUAGAGUACUGGAGAGGGUGGUGGAAUUCCUCGUGUAGCGGUGAAAUGCGUAGAGAUGAGGAGGAACACCAGUGGCGAAGGCGGCCACCUGGACAGUAACUGACGCUGAGGCGCGAAAGUGUGGGUAGCAAACAGGAUUAGAUACCCUGGUAGUCCACGCUGUAAACGAUGAACACUUGGUGUGGAGGGAGUUGACCCCUUCCGUGCCGGAGCUAACGCGUUAAGUGUCCGCC
This 807-nucleotide ribosomal RNA is filed under the name Acidobacteria bacterium IPR-39A. Its description in RNAcentral is "bacterial SSU rRNA". It matches the Rfam family "Bacterial small subunit ribosomal RNA", at positions 85 to 873 of the family's 1533-position model. Lineage: Bacteria; Pseudomonadati; Acidobacteriota. The record is from RNAcentral.